Molecule: unclassified non-coding RNA, 945 nt
Filed under: Hevea brasiliensis (rubber tree)
Lineage: Eukaryota; Viridiplantae; Streptophyta; Magnoliopsida; Malpighiales; Euphorbiaceae
Source: RNAcentral
UAAUGAGGUACACGCUGGCACAUUGUCAGUGGCAACUCGGUCCUUUACAAGGAGGUAAACUGGAUCCCAAGGGUUUUUUCAAAUCCUUCAUCAGUCAAAAUAGAUCAUAAUCCGAGCAUUGUAUGGAUAUCACAGCUUAUUGAUCACUCAUCUCACAAAUGGAAGGUUGCUACGAUCAAGGAAAACUUCAAUAAGGAAGAGGUAAACCACAUCUUGACUAUACCUCUAUCUAUCUUUGAUAGAGAUGACCAACUAGUUUAGCACUUUGAUAGAAAGGGAAAUGACUCAGUCAAGUCUGGAUAUUCCAUAGCCAAUUUGUUGCUUAAUGCCGCUCAAAAUUUAGAUAGAGGAGGCCCUGGUCCAUCAGCCCACCGAGACAGUGCCAAUUCUGGAAACAAUUAUGGAAAAUUCCCUUCCCUUCGAAGCUAUCGAUCUUUCUAUGGUUCUUUUUAAAGGAGAGGCUGCCUACUAAAGAACUUAUUCGCUCUCGCUUGCCUAAAGUAUCACCAGAAUGCAGUUUUUAUGGUGCCAUAGAAACAACCAAGCAUCUUUUCUUAAAUUGUCCUCGGGUGGCUGAGAUUUGGAUUCAUUCCCUUUUCCGGAUUCGAUCUACCAUGAUUAAUAGAGCUUCAAUGAUGGACUGUUGGACUCAAUUAUCAGGGCCUUUCUAUGAACAAGGGAAUUACAAGAAUUUGUUCCGAUGUUGAUUUUCUUAUUGUGGCCAAUAUGGAAAUCUAGGAACUCUCUCACUUUCAGAAAUGAAUCAACAAACUUUCAAGAAGUGAUACCUAUAGCUCUACACUAUAUGGAAGAUUUCUCCAAUGCUCAACCUCUUCCAAACCCUGCGGAUCAUCUCGCUUCAAAAUCUCUACAACAAUGGAACCUCCCUCCUUGUAAUGUGAUAAAGAUUAACUUUGACGGAGCAGCUUCUAAACACCUUAAAAG